AAGAAAUGGUGCUUCUCUCAGCAUCCCAUGGAUUCAUGAGCUCCUUGAAUGCAAAUAUUGCCUAACAUUUUCAUGGUGAGGGAGAAUGGGAGAAAAAGGAAAUGAUUACAUUAUUGUGGAUACUUUUAUUCACUACAAUGGAAGUCCUUAAACAUAAAGUUGAUGUACAUUAAGAGGCAAGACCCAGAGCGUAUCAUCUAAAGAAGAUUCUUCCCACUUUUCUUCUGCUUACACCAAUCCAUCCAACCAUACAUGAAUUUAUAUUCAAUGUACUCAAUUUAUUCAGUGUAUAAUAUUGCUUUGUGAACUAUGGGAAAUAUAAAUAUGACUCAGUUUUUCCCCUCAAA
This 347-nucleotide long non-coding RNA is filed under the name Pongo abelii (Sumatran orangutan). Its description in RNAcentral is "lincRNA". The record is from RNAcentral. Lineage: Eukaryota; Metazoa; Chordata; Mammalia; Primates; Hominidae.